This 623-nucleotide long non-coding RNA is filed under the name Homo sapiens (human). RNAcentral's name for it is "HSALNT0319527". Lineage: Eukaryota; Metazoa; Chordata; Mammalia; Primates; Hominidae. The record is from RNAcentral.
CUUCCAUUCCAUUCCACUCCACUCGGGUUGAUUCCAUUCCAUUCCAUUCCAUUCCAUUCCAUUCCAUUGCGUUCCAUUCCAUUCCAUUGCAUUCCAUUCCAUUCCAUUCCACUCGUGUUGAUUCCCUUCCAUUCCAUUCCAUUCCAUUCCACUUGGGUUGAUUCCAUUCCGUUCCUUUCCAUUUCAUUCCAUACCAUUCCAUUCCAUUCCAUUCCAUUCCAUUCCAUUCCGUUCCAUUCCAUUUGUGUUGAUUCCUUUCCAUUCCAUUCCAUUCCAUCCCAUUCCACUCCGUUUCGCUCCAUUCCAUUCGGGUUGAUUCCGUUCCAUUCCAUGCCCUUUUAUUCCAUUCCAUUGCAUUCCAUUCCAUUCCAUUCCAUUCCAUUCCAUUCCAUUCCAUUCCAUUCCAUUCCACUCGGGUUGUUUCCAUUCCAUUCCUUUCCAUUUCAUUCUAUUCCAUUCCAUUCCAUUCCAUUCUAUUCCAUUCCAUUCCACUGCAUUCCAUUCCAUUCCUCUCCGGUUAUUCCAUUCCAUUCCAUUCCAUCCCACUCGAGUUGUUUCCAUUCCAUUCCAUUCCAUUUUAUUCCAUUCCAUUCCGUUCCAUUACAUUCCAUUCUAUACCAUUC